Molecule: ribosomal RNA, 481 nt
Filed under: uncultured bacterium
Lineage: Bacteria
Description: partial 16S ribosomal RNA
Rfam family: Bacterial small subunit ribosomal RNA
Source: RNAcentral
UUGAACGCUGGGCAGGCCUAACACAUGCAAGUCGAGCGGAUGAAGGGAGCUUGCUCCUGGAUUCAGCGGCGGACGGGUGAGUAAUGCCUAGGAAUCUGCCUGGUAGUGGGGGAUAACGUCCGGAAACGGGCGCUAAUACCGCAUACGUCCUGAGGGAGAAAGUGGGGGAUCUUCGGACCUCACGCUAUCAGAUGAGCCUAGGUCGGAUUAGCUAGUUGGUGGGGUAAAGGCCUACCAAGGCGACGAUCCGUAACUGGUCUGAGAGGAUGAUCAGUCACACUGGAACUGAGACACGGUCCAGACUCCUACGGGAGGCAGCAGUGGGGAAUAUUGGACAAUGGGCGAAAGCCUGAUCCAGCCAUGCCGCGUGUGUGAAGAAGGUCUUCGGAUUGUAAAGCACUUUAAGUUGGGAGGAAGGGCAGUAAGUUAAUACCUUGCUGUUUUGACGUUACCAACAGAAUAAGCACCGGCUAACUUCGUG